Molecule: ribosomal RNA, 445 nt
Filed under: uncultured bacterium
Lineage: Bacteria
Description: partial 16S ribosomal RNA
Rfam family: Bacterial small subunit ribosomal RNA
Source: RNAcentral
GUAGGGAAUAUUGGGCAAUGGAUGCAAGUCUGACCCAGCCAUGCCGCGUGCAGGAAGAAGGUCCUCUGGAUUGUAAACUGCUUUUUUGGGGGAAGAAUAGUUUUCUUGCGAGGAAAUGUGACGGUACCCUAAGAAUAAGCCACGGCUAACUACGUGCCAGCAGCCGCGGUAAUACGUAGGUGGCAAGCGUUGUCCGGAUUUAUUGGGUUUAAAGGGUGCGUAGGUGGUUUGAUAAGUCAGUGGUGAAAGCAGGUUGCUCAACAAGCGAAUUGCCAUUGAUACUGUCGGACUUGAGAGAAGUGGAGGUUCAUGGAAUGGAUGGUGUAGCGGAGAAAUGCAUAGAUAUCAUCCAGAACGUCGAUUGCGAAGGCAGUGGGCUGUACUUUAUCUGACACUGAGGCACGAAAGUGUAGGGAUCAAACAGGAUUAGAAACCCGUGUAGUCC